RNAcentral lists this non-coding RNA (24 nucleotides) under Arabidopsis thaliana (thale cress). The record is from RNAcentral. Lineage: Eukaryota; Viridiplantae; Streptophyta; Magnoliopsida; Brassicales; Brassicaceae.
AAUUAGUGGAAUCGGCUAACGAUC